GACGUAGGGCGCGAGCGUUGUCCGGAAUUAUUGGGCGUAAAGAGCUCGUAGGCGGUUUGUCGCGUCUGCCGUGAAAGUCCGGGGCUCAACUCCGGAUCUGCGGUGGGUACGGGCAGACUAGAGUGAUGUAGGGGAGACUGGAAUUCCUGGUGUAGCGGUGAAAUGCGCAGAUAUCGUAAGGAAGACCAGUGGCGAAGGCGGGUCUCUGGACAGUUCCUGACACUGAGGCACGAAGGCCAGGGGAGCAAACGGG
RNAcentral lists this ribosomal RNA (253 nucleotides) under uncultured bacterium. RNAcentral describes it as "partial 16S ribosomal RNA". It matches the Rfam family "Bacterial small subunit ribosomal RNA", at positions 524 to 776 of the family's 1533-position model. The record is from RNAcentral.